Molecule: ribosomal RNA, 1213 nt
Filed under: Enterococcus hirae
Lineage: Bacteria; Bacillati; Bacillota; Bacilli; Lactobacillales; Enterococcaceae
Description: bacterial SSU rRNA
Rfam family: Bacterial small subunit ribosomal RNA
Source: RNAcentral
UGCUAUACAUGCAGUCGACGCUUCUUUUUCCACCGGAGCUUGCUCCACCGGAAAAAGAGGAGUGGCGAACGGGUGAGUAACACGUGGGUAACCUGCCCAUCAGAAGGGGAUAACACUUGGAAACAGGUGCUAAUACCGUAUAACAAUCGAAACCGCAUGGUUUUGAUUUGAAAGGCGCUUUCGGGUGUCGCUGAUGGAUGGACCCGCGGUGCAUUAGCUAGUUGGUGAGGUAACGGCUCACCAAGGCGACGAUGCAUAGCCGACCUGAGAGGGUGAUCGGCCACAUUGGGACUGAGACACGGCCCAAACUCCUACGGGAGGCAGCAGUAGGGAAUCUUCGGCAAUGGACGAAAGUCUGACCGAGCAACGCCGCGUGAGUGAAGAAGGUUUUCGGAUCGUAAAACUCUGUUGUUAGAGAAGAACAAGGAUGAGAGUAACUGUUCAUCCCUUGACGGUAUCUAACCAGAAAGCCACGGCUAACUACGUGCCAGCAGCCGCGGUAAUACGUAGGUGGCAAGCGUUGUCCGGAUUUAUUGGGCGUAAAGCGAGCGCAGGCGGUUUCUUAAGUCUGAUGUGAAAGCCCCCGGCUCAACCGGGGAGGGUCAUUGGAAACUGGGAGACUUGAGUGCAGAAGAGGAGAGUGGAAUUCCAUGUGUAGCGGUGAAAUGCGUAGAUAUAUGGAGGAACACCAGUGGCGAAGGCGGCUCUCUGGUCUGUAACUGACGCUGAGGCUCGAAAGCGUGGGGAGCAAACAGGAUUAGAUACCCUGGUAGUCCACGCCGUAAACGAUGAGUGCUAAGUGUUGGAGGGUUUCCGCCCUUCAGUGCUGCAGCUAACGCAUUAAGCACUCCGCCUGGGGAGUACGACCGCAAGGUUGAAACUCAAAGGAAUUGACGGGGGCCCGCACAAGCGGUGGAGCAUGUGGUUUAAUUCGAAGCAACGCGAAGAACCUUACCAGGUCUUGACAUCCUUUGACCACUCUAGAGAUAGAGCUUCCCCUUCGGGGGCAAAGUGACAGGUGGUGCAUGGUUGUCGUCAGCUCGUGUCGUGAGAUGUUGGGUUAAGUCCCGCAACGAGCGCAACCCUAUGUUAGUUGCCAUCAUUUAGUUGGGCACUCUAGCAAGACUGCCGGUGACAAACCGGAAGAAGGUGGGGAUGACGUCAAAUCAUCAUGCCCCUUAUGACCUGGGCUACACACGUGCCUACAAUGGGA